This is an RNA transcript of Panicum hallii, 1550 nucleotides long. RefSeq lists it as uncharacterized. The record is from RefSeq and is a predicted model, not a curated record. Lineage: Eukaryota; Viridiplantae; Streptophyta; Magnoliopsida; Poales; Poaceae. The transcript is spliced from 4 exons.
ACUGCCUGCGGGGUUGUUCGUGUUCCUUGCUACUACUGCAGUGCAGGCAGGGGUAGGACGGCACGUCCGCACGCGGAGCCGGAGCACAAGCAGACCACGACACAGGUCGAUCGAUCGAUCGUUCCAAUGGCCCUCCGCGACGGCACCACCAACCUCUCCAUCUCCGGCGCCGCCCUCGCCGCUCUCCUCCACCGCUGCGCCGCCGCCACCGGCGACUGCGACGGCCUCCUCUUCGGCCGCGCCUCCCACCUCCCCGCGCCGCCCGCCGCCCUCUCCGACUACGACGACCUCGCCACCGCCCCGCCCACCCCCGAGCUCACCAUCUCCGUCUCGGGCCACUGCUCCCUCUCCCACCCAUCUUCCCUCUCAGAUCCCCUCGGCCGAUUCCACCCCCCCUCCUCGGACCCCUCCUCCGCGCCAGCGCCCGCCGCCGUCGGCUUCUUCUCCUCCCGCCGCCGCACCGCGCUCCGCCCCUCCAUGCGCGAGCUCGCUCUCGCCCACUCCCUCUCCAAGACCCUACAAGGACGCACCACCGCCCACCCCCUCCUCUUCAUCCUCGUCUCCCCCUCCGCCUCCCCCAACUUCUCCACCCACUCCUACGACUACCGCGCCUUCCUCCUCCUCGCCUCCCGCCUCGUCCCGGCCUCGCUCACCGUCGUCAACGUCGGCCCCGGAUUCAGGGACCAAUACCACGCCUUCUCCCCAGAGUCUCCCAUGCCCUGCCUGCCAUCCUCGCCUGCGGCCGCAGGUCACGCUCACACCAUUGGAGAGCAGAAGGCGGUCGAUGAAAUGGUCGACGGGUUUGGGAUCGGGAGGCUGCAAGGGCUCCUGGGCUCUGCGGCAGGGCAGGCGGCGGAGAUGGAUGACAUGUAUGCGGGGAUGCUCAGGAACCUGGAGAAGCUCGCCAGGGAGGUGGAGAACAGCAAUAUCCGUGUUCUCGAGCAGGAAAAUCGGAACCUGCUGCUGAGGUUCAGAUGUGCAGGAAUGGAAUAGGACCAAAGUGUUUCUUGGUCCUAUUAAGGUAUGUGUCGCAAGUUGAGGGGUUCUUCUUGUAUGUCAUGCAGGCCACCUUGGUCUUUUGGCCUACAAAGCGACUCCCAACUGGCCAUAUGAUACUUGAAAUCCUCCCCGGCACCCUGCCAGAAGAAUUUGCUUCUCACCGAGUUCAUCCCCCCAUGGGAACUUUUCAGUAGAAGGGUUACUGAUGCUAUGCGCCUCUAAGGCAUAUAUGAUGCCAGAGGUUUGUCCUCCAAGUUGGGAGCUGAAUGUGUGCAUUGGACUUGGCAUGCAUCGACUAGGGACUAGGGAUGGUGGAGUGUGUGUGGAGAGCAUGUGUUUGUGUGGAAGAAGGUGCAUGGCGUCUGAGGAUGGAUGAUAGAGCAAGAUGUGUUGGGCAGAAACGGUUUUGUGUAUGGUGGUGGUGGCGUCAUUGAUGGGAGCAGAUUGGUGUAAGUAAGUUUGAUGCAUGAAGCAUCAGCGUUAUAUGGAGUUGAGUAAUGUAAUGCAAUGCAAUCCUUGUUGGAGCUUUCCUAUCGGUCGUUGCUGAAGAA